This 483-nucleotide ribosomal RNA is filed under the name uncultured bacterium. Its description in RNAcentral is "partial 16S ribosomal RNA". The stretch from base 60 to 483 matches the Rfam family "Bacterial small subunit ribosomal RNA", at positions 37 to 506 of the family's 1533-position model. The record is from RNAcentral.
GGGGGGGGGGGGGGGGGGGGCGGGGGGGGGCGGGGCGGGGGGGGGCGGGGGGGCGGCCGUGGCGGCGGGCGGCGGACGGGUGGGGAGUUCGGCGGGGUGUGCCUUUUGGUGGGGGAUGAGGGAGGGGAACGUACGCUAAUACCGCAUACGUCCUACGGGAGGGAGGGGGGGACCGCAAGGCCUCACGCAGAAAGAUGGGCCGACGACCGAUUAGCUAGUUGGGGGGGUAAAGGCCCACCAAGGCGACGAUCGGGAGCUGGUCUGAGAGGAUGAUCAGCCACACUGGGACUGAGACACGGCCCAGACUCCUACGGGAGGCAGCAGUGGGGAAUAUUGGACAAUGGGCGCAAGCCUGAUCCAGCCAUGCCGCGUGUGUGAAGAAGGCCUUCGGGUUGUAAAGCACUUUUGUCCGGAAAGAAAUCCCUGGAGCUAAUACCUUCGGGGGAGGACGGUACCGGAAGAAUAAGCACCGGCUAACUUCGU